GACGAACGCUGGCGGCGUGCUUAACACAUGCAAGUCGAACGGAAAGGCCCUGCUUUUGUGGGGUGCUCGAGUGGCGAACGGGUGAGUAACACGUGAGUAACCUGCCCUUGACUUUGGGAUAACUUCAGGAAACUGGGGCUAAUACCGGAUAGGAGCUCCUGCUGCAUGGUGGGGGUUGAAAAGUUUCGGCGGUUGGGGAUGGACUCGCGGCUUAUCAGCUUGUUGGUGGGGUAGUGGCUUACCAAGGCUUUGCCGGGUAGCCGGCCUGAGAGGGUGACCGGACACAUUGGGACUGAGAUACGGCACAGACUCCUACGGGAGGCAGCAGUGGGGAAUAUUGCACAAUGGGCGGAAGCCUGAUGCAGCAACGCCGCGUGCGGGAUGACGGCCUUCGGGUUGUAAACCGCUUUCGCCUGUGACGAAGCGUGAGUGACGGUAAUGGGUAAAGAAGCACCGGCUAACUACGUG
Molecule: ribosomal RNA, 468 nt
Filed under: uncultured bacterium
Lineage: Bacteria
Description: partial 16S ribosomal RNA
Rfam family: Bacterial small subunit ribosomal RNA
Source: RNAcentral